UGAUGGCCAGGCUGUCUCCACCCGAGACUCAGUGAAAUUGAACUCGCUGUGAAGAUGCAGUGUACCCGCGGCAAGACGGAAAGACCCCGUGAACCUUUACUAUAGCUUGACACUGAACAUUGAGCCUUGAUGUGUAGGAUAGGUGGGAGGCUUUGAAGCGUGGACGCCAGUCUGCGUGGAGCCGACCUUGAAAUACCACCCUUUAAUGUUUGAUGUUCUAACGUGGAUCCGUAAUCCGGGUUGCGGACAGUGUCUGGUGGGUAGUUUGACUGGGGCGGUCUCCUCCUAAAGAGUAACGGAGGAGCACGAAGGUUGGCUAAUCCUGGUCGGACAUCAGGAGGUUAGUGCAAUGGCAUAAGCCAGCUUGACUGCGAGCGUGACGGCGCGAGCAGGUGCGAAAGCAGGUCAUAGUGAUCCGGUGGUUCUGAAUGGAAGGGCCAUCGCUCAACGGAUAAAAGGUACUCCGGGGAUAACAGGCUGAUACCGCCCAAGAGUUCAUAUCGACGGCGGUGUUUGGCACCUCGAUGUCGGCUCAUCACAUCCUGGGGCUGAAGUAGGUCCCAAGGGUAUGGCUGUUCGCCAUUUAAAGUGGUACGCGAGCUGGGUUUAGAACGUCGUGAGACAGUUCGGUCCCUAUCUGCCGUGGGCGCUGGAGAACUGAGGGGGGCUGCUCCUAGUACGAGAGGACCGGAGUGGACGCAUCACUGGUGUUCGGGUUGUCAUGCCAAUGGCACUGCCCGGUAGCUAAAUGCGGAAGAGAUAAGUGCUGAAAGCAUCUAAGCACGAAACUUGCCCCGAGAUGAGUUCUCCCUGAGACUUUAAGUCUCCUGAAGGAACGUUGAAGACGACGACGUUGAUAGGCCGGGUGUGUAAGCGCAGCGAUGCGUUGAGCUAACCGGUACUAAUGAACCGUGAGGCUUAACCUUACAACGCCGAAG
This 938-nucleotide ribosomal RNA is filed under the name Salmonella enterica subsp. enterica serovar Infantis. RNAcentral describes it as "partial 23S ribosomal RNA". It matches the Rfam family "Bacterial large subunit ribosomal RNA", at positions 2005 to 2925 of the family's 2925-position model. The record is from RNAcentral. Lineage: Bacteria; Pseudomonadati; Pseudomonadota; Gammaproteobacteria; Enterobacterales; Enterobacteriaceae.